GCAGUCGAACGGCAGCGGGGGCUUCGGCCUGCCGGCGAGUGGCGAACGGGUGAGUAAUGCAUCGGAACGUGCCCAUGUCGUGGGGGAUAACGUAUCGAAAGGUACGCUAAUACCGCAUACGUCCUGAGGGAGAAAGCGGGGGAUCGCAAGACCUCGCGCGAUUGGAGCGGCCGAUGUCGGAUUAGCUAGUAGGUGAGGUAAAGGCUCACCUAGGCGACGAUCCGUAGCGGGUCUGAGAGGAUGAUCCGCCACACUGGGACUGAGACACGGCCCAGACUCUACGCGAGGCAGCAGUGGGGAAUUUUGGACAAUGGGGGCAACCCUGAUCCAGCCAUGCCGCGUGAGUGAAGAAGGCCUUCGGGUUGUAAAGCUCUUUCGGCCGGGAAGAAAUCGUGUUCUCUAACAUAGGACAUGGAUGACGGUACCGGACUAAGAAGCACCGGCUAACUACGUGCCAGCAGCCGCGGUAAUACGUAGGGUGCGAGCGUUAAUCGGAAUUACUGGGCGUAAAGCGUGCGCAGGCGGUUUUGUAAGACAGAUGUGAAAUCCCCGGGCUUAACCUGGGAACUGCGUUUGUGACUGCAAGGCUAGAGUACGGCAGAGGGGGGUGGAAUUCCUGGUGUAGCAGUGAAAUGCGUAGAUAUCAGGAGGAACACCGAUGGCGAAGGCAGCCCCCUGGGCCUGUACUGACGCUCAUGCACGAAAGCGUGGGGAGCAAACAGGAUUAGAUACCCUGGUAGUCCACGCCCUAAACGAUGUCGACUAGUCGUUCGGAGCAGCAAUGCACUGAGUGACGCAGCUAACGCGUGAAGUCGACCGCCUGGGGAGUACGGCCGCAAGGUUAAAACUCAAAGGAAUUGACGGGGACCCGCACAAGCGGUGGAUGAUGUGGAUUAAUUCGAUGCAACGCGAAAAACCUUACCUACCCUUGACAUGUCUGGAACCUUGCUGAGAGGCGAGGGUGCCUUCGGGAGCCAGAACACAGGUGCUGCAU
This 994-nucleotide ribosomal RNA is filed under the name Thauera sp. Its description in RNAcentral is "bacterial SSU rRNA". It matches the Rfam family "Bacterial small subunit ribosomal RNA", at positions 57 to 1046 of the family's 1533-position model. Lineage: Bacteria; Pseudomonadati; Pseudomonadota; Betaproteobacteria; Rhodocyclales; Zoogloeaceae. The record is from RNAcentral.